Molecule: non-coding RNA, 73 nt
Organism: Salmo salar (Atlantic salmon)
Lineage: Eukaryota; Metazoa; Chordata; Actinopteri; Salmoniformes; Salmonidae
Source: Rfam
UUCCCUGUGGCUCAGUUGGUAGAGCAUGGUGUUUGCAACGCCAGGGUUGUGGGUUCGAUUCCGACGGGGGACC